This 478-nucleotide ribosomal RNA is filed under the name uncultured bacterium. RNAcentral's name for it is "partial 16S ribosomal RNA". It matches the Rfam family "Bacterial small subunit ribosomal RNA", at positions 28 to 507 of the family's 1533-position model. The record is from RNAcentral.
GAUGAACGCUAGCGGCAGGCCUAACACAUGCAAGUCGAGGGAGAAGCCCUUUCGGGGGCAGAAACCGGCGCACGGGUGCGUAACGCGUAUGCAACCUACCUUUCACAGGGGGAUAGCCCGAAGAAAUUUGGAUUAAUACCCCAUAAUAUUAUUGGAUGGCAUCAUUUGAUAAUUAAAACUGCGGUGGUGAAAGAUGGGCAUGCGUCCUAUUAGCUAGUUGGAGUGGUAACGGCACCCCAAGGCUACGAUAGGUAGGGGUCCUGAGAGGGAGAUCCCCCACACGGGUACUGAGACAGGGACCAGACUCCUACGGGAGGCAGCAGUGAGGAAUAUUGGUCAAUGGUCGGAAGACUGAACCAGCCAUGCCGCGUGCAGGAAGAAUGCCUUAUGGGUGGUAAACUGCUUUUAUAUGGGAAGAAUAAGGUGCACGUGUACAUUGAUGACGGUACCAGAUGAAUAAGCAUCGGCUAACUCCGUG